AGCGCGCCCCCGACCCACGCGCUUCCGGUUGGUGGCCUGUCCCUACCGAGCGCGGUCCUGCUCGCCGCUUCCUGUCUCCUCCCCUCACCCUGUUCCCCGCACCGGCAGAGCGGGCAGCUCCCGAGGCUCGUACCGGAACUGUGGCCUUCUCCCGGGACUUGGAGGACCGCCUCGGCUGAGGAAGUGACCGAGAGAAGAGAGUGGACAGGACUCACGGAAACACUCGAGAAGAUUCUCUCAGUGCCAUCCCCAGAGUGGCUGUGAUAGGAUAAGCCAAGUAAGGGUGAUGUGGAAACCGUUGUUCCAAGUUAAUGGUGAUCGCGGAUAAGAAUUGUUUUGUGUUUCUGUUGUUGAGACAGGGAGGGCAUCACUGUGUAACCCAGGCUUGCUUGGAACUCUUUCGUGGAGCAGUUUCGAACUUGAGAUUCACCUGCUCCUUGAGUCUCUCAAGUGCUGAGAGUAAAGGGGAUGUCAACGGCCUGGACAGCAACGUUGAAAGAAUUGUGGGUACGGUGAGGAGAAAAGUGAAGUAAAAGAGAGCACCCCAGAAAACUCUGAUGAAAAAAGUCAGGAAAUCCUGAUAGCUGAAGAAAAAUAAAAUGAAGAGACGAGAGAUAGAAGAAAGAUUGCCGAUAUUCCCAGAUUCGAUGGAAGAAUGAAAAAAGGAGAAAUAAAACAGAUACUUGGACUUGGGAUGUUGAAGCAGGAGGAUGAGCGAUUGUUAUGCAGCCGGGUGGAAGCCAGCCUAGAAUAAAGUGUGAGAAUGAAAAAAAACACAUAAUGACAGACAUAAUGCAGAGUCAAACUGGCUGGUCACACACAGUUCAGAUUUCAUUGAUAAGACUGACGGAAUCCGUUUAAUAUUGUUACUACCUAAGGCUUCUUUCCAGUUACAGUCAUUCUGAGAACAUUGCACUUGUAUGAGUUUUAAAGUGUUGAUCUGUGAGCAAAGAAUUCCUAUUCUAUACCUCCGUCAGUUCUCCUUAGCAUACAAGGAUCUUUCUUCAAACAUACUAAUUCAAAUGCCUUGAUAAGGUUAGGCCAUAGUCCAGUGGUAAGCUCUGGGCUAGACUCUGUUAGUUCCUGGCCUCCAUUCCCAACAUAGAAAAACAAACAACAAAAACAAAACUAAGCUCUAGACUGCCUCUCCUUAAACUCUUGCCCAAGAGCUAACUGAAGUACGGUAUACAUAUAAAUAAUUGAACUUUAAUGAGUAGAAUGUGGACAGCUGACUCAAGGUUUAAAAAAAAAAUACUCUUUCUUAAUCACAGUGGUUGUAUUGCUGUGAAGAGACACUUUGACCAAGACAACUAUUAUAAAAGAAAGCAUUUAAUUGGGACCUUGCUUACAGUUUCAGCAGUUUAGUCCAGUUAUGGGGGCCAGGGAGCAACGCAGUAUUCAGUCAGGUGCUGGAGCAGUAGCUGAGAGCUAUAACCUGAUAGAGGAACUCUGGGCUUGGCAUGGGCUUUUGAAACCUCAAAGCCUACUCCCACUGACACACUUCCUCUAAGAAGGCCACACCUCCUAAUCCUUCUAAUCCUUUCAAAUAAUAUCAUUUGUGACUAAGCAUUCAAAUAUAAAAGCCCAUGGGAGUUACUCAAACCAUCACACUCUAUUCACUGGCCUCCACAGUCCCCAUACUCUCACAGUCUCAAAGCUCCUUAAAAAAAAUCCAAAGUUUUAAGUAUCUUCUGAAAGUCAAGGCUUCUCUUACUGGAAACCCGUGUAAAAUCAAAAUCAGAUCACCUACUCCCAAUAUACAAUGACAGGUUACACAUCACCAUUCCAAAAAGGAGGAAAAAGAGCAUAGUGAGAGAAGACUGGAUCAAAAAGCAAAACCAGAAACCUAGCAAACUCCAAAUUAUGCAUCUCCAUGUCUGAUGUCAAAAUGCUCUUCAGAUCUCCAGCUCCCUUCAGCUUCUUUGACUAUAACACGUCUCUCCCUUGGGCUGGUUCACACCCUCUUAGCAGCUCUCCUUGGCAGGUGUCCCACCACUCUGGCAUCUUCAAUAUUUUGGGGCCUCCAACACACUCCAGGCUUCACUUUCACAGCUUCUCACAAUGGCCUCUCUGGACCUCUAUGUAGGGACACCCCUGACUUAUGCCUGGUAUCAGUCAGCAUCCUUCCUUAGCCUUGGAUGGAGAUUCCUCAAGCCCCUUCCUGUCUCUUCAGCUCUAAAGUCAUGACCACAUUGCAGAACUGCCGGGUUCUGUGAUUGCUGCAGCUGGAGCUUAGUCCCCUCCUAUUACAUUUUACUUAAGCUUCUCUCUCUCUCUCUCUCUCUCUCUCUCUCUCUCUCUCUCUCUCUCUCUCUCUCUGUUUUUGGUUGGUUGGUUGGUUUUUUGAGACAGGGUUUCUCUAUAGCCCUGGCUGUCCUCUGGAACUCACUCUGUAGACCAGGCUGGCCUCGAACUCAGAAAUCCUCCUGCCUCUGCCUCCCAAGUGCUGGGAUCAAAGGUGUACGCCACCACGCCCGGCUUAAGCUUCUCUCUAAUUCCUUCUCACAAGUUGGAAGGCUAGCCGGGCGUGGUCUUGCUCUGAGGUUACAACUCCUUUUAUUUCAUUUAGCAUCAGGCUUUUAUCUAUUUAUUUAUUUUAACUUUUUAUCUCCUUGAGUACAGGACUUAGCUCCAUUACACUUCCUGGUGUUCUUUUUCUUCCCAAACUACAUUUAUAUGUCUUUGUCCAGCUUGUCCCUUUUCAUCAUUGCAGAUCUGCAUAAGAAUAAUUACUAAUAACCACAGGACACAGUUAAUACUAGGCUGUCUUGAAAUCUUUUCUACCAAACCAUUAAUCCAAAACUCAGUUUAGCAGCUUGGGUUGGGUUUUUGUUGUUGUUGUUGUUGUUGUUGUUGUUGUUUUUGUUUUGUUUUGUUUUUGUCAAAAUACAUCAAGAAUGCUCUCUAGGCCACUUGCUAAUAUUCUUCCCCUCUGAAGCCUCUUGAGUUGGGCUGGUCAUAAUCUAUAUUGCUCUUAGAACCACCACUGUCUUCCAUGCUCCUUCUAGAAUGGCCCAUUAAGCCCCACUUAAACAGCUCAACUUCUUUCCUAAUCUAAAUUCCCAAAGUCCACACUCUACCAACUAGCAACAUGGUCUGGCCUGUCACAGCAAUACUUCAGUCCCAGUACCAACUCCUGUCUUGGUCAGUGAGAUAUUGCUGUAGAGACACCAUAGCCAAGACAACAACUAUAAGAGAAGGCAUUUGAGUGGGGCCUUGCUUACACUUUUGAACACUCAGUCCAUGAUCAUGGCAGGGAGCCUGGUGGCAUGCAGCAGUGCUGGAGCAAUAGUUGAGAGCUACAUCCUGAUCACAGGCUGAGAGACCAAGGGUUUGAAACCUCAAAAUGUGGGGUGGUGAACUGUGCACAGACAGCCUGGUCUCCAGUAGAGCACAAGCCUGGAACCCCGGAGACCUGGUAGGUGGUGACUUCUGCCUUCAUGGGACAUUAGGAGUUCAGCCACACCUCCUGGGCCCCUGGCUCCUGUCACAGCUACAGCCCCCCACAGCCCCCUGCAGAGAGGUGUGUGGCCAUCAGUCACAUAGGCAAUGCCCCAAGUCCCUGGUAUUCUGUCUGGGUAGCCACUCCUAGUUACCUCCCCACUACUACCUGACAACAGCAAGGUAGCCCAGACCACUAUAAAAGGAGCUGCUUGUCCCCUCCUCGCUCUCUCUCUCUUACCUUUUAUUCUCUUGCUCUUACUCUCACCUCUCUCUUCCCCUCUCUCUCCACGUGGCCAUGCCGCCCUCUGCUUCUCUACUCUCUGCCUUUCUACAAUAAACACCUGAAAACAAACCAUUGACUACCUCUUAUCAGGAUCCGCCAUGCUGGAGCAACAAAGUAGAUAUAUCUAACAAGCUGCGUGUCUAACCUCCCACCAGAAAAUUUCCUUGUGCUCCAGCCACGACCACCAACCCAAGCCGCCUGAGCUAGCCAGAAUCUCUCCUCCCCAAGGUAACCACCCAGAGCUCUCUCCUCCUGCCCUUUUUCCUUCAGCCCCCGGGCCAGAGUCCGCCCGAGGGUACCAAUUCUAUUCUCAGCUCUUCUGCAACCAACAGAGGUAUCUGGGAUGUCCGAGAGCGAGAACUUGUUGUGCCUGGCCUCCGUGCGGCCCAGGGACCCCAGAACUGGCUCUUCCAGGAUGCCCAGUGAUCUGUGAUGCUGAGAGUCGGAGCCCGACUUCGGCAGUUCCACAGGGACCCCAAACUGUGCCCUUUCCUCACAUCCAGAGCGGGAUCCCGCGGCUUCUCAAAGUCCAGUGCCCACCUGGCGGUUCCGUGGGGUCCACUGUGCAGUCAGAUCUCCCACAUCCCAUUCUCGCCCAGCAACCCUAGCUCCGAGCGGACCCCAUUUUUUACUCCACACCCCCCCCCCCCAGUGACACACUUCUCCCCACAAAGACACACCUCCUAAUUCUUUCAAAUGGUGCAACUCCCUGGCCUUCAACUUCGAGAUCCACCUGCCUCCUCCAGCUAAGUGCUGGGAUUCAAGCCAUGUACCACCACUACCUGGCAACUAUUUGUUCUUAAUAAAGGAUAAAUCAUCUUCCUA
This is a long non-coding RNA of Mus musculus (house mouse), 4552 nucleotides long. RefSeq annotates it as RIKEN cDNA 4930520E11 gene. NCBI's taxonomy places the organism in Eukaryota, Metazoa, Chordata, Mammalia, Rodentia, Muridae. The record is from RefSeq and is a predicted model, not a curated record. The transcript has 2 exons.